GCUGGGGUCGGCAGAGAGCGAGCGAGGUCCGUGCGUGGAUUUGGGGUCCGGGAUCAGGCGGUGGUCACUCUGUGUCUCAGGGAACACUGAGAGCAGGAACGGAAGAUAACAGCCCAGGGUGAGGCUGACUCUGACCACCACCACUGGACAGAUACGUUCGGAUCCGGUUCCCACGGCCAUCAUGGCUGCCGGAGUGUGGCUGCUGCUGUCGGUUACUAUGUUCGAGGCGAUGUCAGAACGGGGAGUCCAUAUGGAGGCCCCACCUCUGACACCGCCCAUCAGGAACCUAAGCAUCGACCCCGCCCAGCGCAGGCUGACGUGGGAGUGGGGCGGGGGCGGGACCAGGGCAGAGGGCGGGGCCUUGGGUCCCAGGUUCCUGUGCAGAAAGGAGGGGCGGGACCCUGUGCGGGCGGACCCUGCAGGUCAUUCCUGCUCCUUCCCUGCCCUUUCCCACUGUCACGUAACCAACUUCACUGUCUUCCCCGAGGGGCAAGAGAAGGAUGCGGCCCACCUGUGCUUCCAGCCCCGUGACCCCAACAGGGCGGCUGCCGCCCGCAACCUGCACUGCUGGGUGCACGACGUGGAUUGGCUGAGUUGCCGCUGGGGUCGGGGCCCUGGGGCAACACGGGAUGUGCGAUACAGAAUG
This 646-nucleotide long non-coding RNA is filed under the name Rattus norvegicus (Norway rat). Its description in RNAcentral is "long non-coding RNA NONRATT007814". Lineage: Eukaryota; Metazoa; Chordata; Mammalia; Rodentia; Muridae. The record is from RNAcentral.